CCUACGGGAGGCAGCAGUGGGGAAUAUUGGACAAUGGGCGAAAGCCUGAUCCAGCAAUGCCGCGUGAGUGAUGAAGGCCUUAGGGUUGUAAAGCUCUUUUACCAGGGAUGAUAAUGACAGUACCUGGAGAAUAAGCUCCGGCUAACUCCGUGCCAGCAGCCGCGGUAAUACGGAGGGAGCUAGCGUUGUUCGGAAUUACUGGGCGUAAAGCGUGCGUAGGCGGCUAUUCAAGUCAGAGGUGAAAGCCCGGGGCUCAACCCCGGAACGGCCUUUGAAACUAGGUAGCUAGAAUCUUGGAGAGGUUAGUGGAAUUCCGAGUGUAGAGGUGAAAUUCGUAGAUAUUCGGAAGAACACCAGUGGCGAAGGCGACUAACUGGACAAGUAUUGACGCUGAGGUACGAAAGCGUGGGGAGCAAACAGGAUUAGAUACCCUGGUAGUCCACGCCGUAAACGAUGAUAACUAGCUGUCCGGGCACUUGGUGCUUGGGUGGCGCAGCUACGCAUUAAGUUAUCCGUCCGUCGGGUAGGUACGGUCGCGAGAGUUAAACGUAACGAAAGGAAAGUUAGACGGACGUGUAGACGUUGCGAACGGACGACGAACGAGGGAGGAGG
This 612-nucleotide ribosomal RNA is filed under the name uncultured bacterium. Its description in RNAcentral is "bacterial SSU rRNA". The stretch from base 1 to 517 matches the Rfam family "Bacterial small subunit ribosomal RNA", at positions 338 to 873 of the family's 1533-position model. The record is from RNAcentral.